Molecule: long non-coding RNA, 679 nt
Filed under: Salmo salar (Atlantic salmon)
Lineage: Eukaryota; Metazoa; Chordata; Actinopteri; Salmoniformes; Salmonidae
Description: lncRNA (ENSSSAG00000094071.1)
Source: RNAcentral
UAACAGUCUGGUGGUCCAGUCUACAGGGUAACAGUCUGGUGGUCCAGUCUACAGGGUAACAGUCUGCUGGUCCAGUCUACAUGGUUUAGCUUAUAAAACGGUCCAGAAACACAGAAAGGCGUUAAAAUGAAUUUCCAUUUAACAGUCAAUAAGACAAGUCGUAAACAACAACAGUUUGUCUGUCAGGUGUCCUGCCGUCCCUGUUGGUUAGUAAAGUGUCCCAACGGUGGCCUGUCUAGGACAGGUCAGUUACAGACAGACAGACAGACAGGUUGUGUAGUCUAGGACAGGUCCGUUCCAGACAGACAGUCUAGGACAGGUCAACGACAGACAGGCUGUGUAGUGACAGACAGCUGAUAUGAACAGUGAUUAGAGUGUAGUAAUAACAAUAGAAAAGAUGAUUACGACAGUGACAUUAAAGACCAACAUUUAUCCCCCGUUAACCACAGUCCUGGAAUCAGAUGUUAACUCCUGUCUCUACAUAGUGGAGGUUAGACCCCCGUUAACCACAGUCCUGGAAUCAGAUGUUAACUCCUGUCUCUACAUAGUGGAGGUUAGGGACCCCCUGUUAACCACAGUCCUGGAAUCAGAUGUUAACUCCUGUCUACAUAGUGGAGGUUAGGACCCCCGUUAACCACAGUCCUGGAAUCAGAUGUUAACUCCUGUCUACAUAGUGGAG